CCUACGGGUGGCAGCAGUGGGGAAUAUUGCACAAUGGGGGAAACCCUGAUCCAGCGACGCCGCGUGAGUGAAGAAGUAUCUCGGUAUGUUAAACUCUAUCUGCCGGGAAGAAAAUGACGGUACCUGACUCAGAAGCCCAGUCUAACUACGUGCCAGCAGCCGCGGUAAUACGUAGGGGGCCAGCGUUAUCCGGAUUUACUGGGUGUAAAGGGGGUGUAGACGGGUGUGCAAGUGCGGAGUGAAAGCCCAUGGCUUAACCAUGGAACUGCACUGGAAACUGUGGAGAUUGAGUGCAGUAGGGGCAGGCGGAAUGCAUGGUGUAGCGGUGAAAUGCUUAGAUAUCAGGAAGAACACCGACGGCGAAGGCGGCCGGCUGGACCGUAACUGACGCUGAGGCUCGAAAGCGUGGGGAGCAAACAGGAUUAGAUACCCUAGUAGUC
RNAcentral lists this ribosomal RNA (440 nucleotides) under uncultured bacterium. Its description in RNAcentral is "partial 16S ribosomal RNA". It matches the Rfam family "Bacterial small subunit ribosomal RNA", at positions 338 to 795 of the family's 1533-position model. The record is from RNAcentral.